This 332-nucleotide unclassified non-coding RNA is filed under the name soil metagenome. Its description in RNAcentral is "partial contains 5.8S ribosomal RNA, internal transcribed spacer 2, and large subunit ribosomal RNA". The stretch from base 1 to 120 matches the Rfam family "5.8S ribosomal RNA", at positions 35 to 154 of the family's 154-position model. The record is from RNAcentral.
GAUGAAGAACGUAGCGAAAUGCGAUAAGUAGUGUGAAUUGCAGAAUUCAGUGAAUCAUCGAAUCUUUGAACGCACAUUGCGCCCUUUGGUAUUCCUUAGGGCAUGCCUGUUCGAGCGUCAUUUAAACCUUCAAGCUAAGCUUGGUGUUGGGUGACUGUCCGCUUCACGGCGGACUCGCCUCAAAAUUAUUGGCGGCCGGUACAUUGGCUUCGAGCGCAGCAGAAACGCGAACUCGGGCCCGUCGUAUUGGCUCCCAGAAGCUAUCUUCACAAUUUUGACCUCGGAUCAGGUAGGGAUACCCGCUGAACUUAAGCAUAUCAAUAGGCGGAGGA